RNAcentral lists this ribosomal RNA (194 nucleotides) under uncultured bacterium. Its description in RNAcentral is "partial 16S ribosomal RNA". It matches the Rfam family "Bacterial small subunit ribosomal RNA", at positions 338 to 524 of the family's 1533-position model. The record is from RNAcentral.
CCUACGGGAGGCAGCAGUGGGGAAUUUUGGACAAUGGGCGAAAGCCUGAUCCAGCAAUGCCGCGUGUGUGAAGAAGGCCUUCGGGUUGUAAAGCACUUUUGUCCGGAAAGAAAUCCUCUGGGUUAAUACCUCGGGGGGAUGACGGUACCGGAAGAAUAAGCACCGGCUAACUACGUGCCAGCAGCCGCGGUAAU